Molecule: ribosomal RNA, 292 nt
Filed under: uncultured bacterium
Lineage: Bacteria
Description: partial 16S ribosomal RNA
Rfam family: Bacterial small subunit ribosomal RNA
Source: RNAcentral
GUGUCAGCCGCCGCGGUAAUACGGAGGAUGCAAGCGUUAUCCGGAUUUAUUGGGUUUAAAGGGUGCGUAGGCGGAUCAAUAAGUCAGUGGUGAAAACCUGCAGCUUAACUGUAGAUGUGCCGUUGAUACUGUUGGUCUUGAGUAUGGUCAAGGUAGGCGGAAUGUGUAAUGUAGCGGUGAAAUGCUUAGAUAUUACACAGAACACCGAUUGCGAAGGCAGCUUGCUGGGCCAUUACUGACGCUGAUGCACGAAAGCGUGGGGAUCGAACAGGAUUAGAAACCCGAGUAGUCC